Pocillopora verrucosa is the source of this 355-nucleotide non-coding RNA. NCBI's taxonomy places the organism in Eukaryota, Metazoa, Cnidaria, Anthozoa, Scleractinia, Pocilloporidae. The record is from RefSeq and is a predicted model, not a curated record.
AGCUGACUGAGCAAGAAAAAAGAAUUGCUUUUGGCUCAGAGAAAAACAUUAUGCUUGUUCUCACUCAAAUGGAAAAACAUCCGGAUAAUUUCAUCAUUCAAGUAGCAGCUGUAGCUUGUGUAUUUAACAACAUCAUGGCAAGAGGAGGGGAAGCAAACCCAGAAGUGCAUCCUCAUUUCUUAAGGUAAAAUUAUUACUGAAUACAUGAUUAAAUGUGUUUAAAACACUCCCAAAGUGGUAUUAGAGGGCUGGUGUUGUCAAGCAACAAAACAUAGCAAUAGUUGUCUUGGCAACCAGGUGGUCACCUUGGUAAUCAAGCCACAGCCCACCUUUACGCACCUAUCAGCACAACACA